GGCAGCAUUUAGCAGCUAGCCACUGUUUAUAAGAAGGGAUCCCAGCAGCUCGAAGUCAGUCAUUGGGAUUACUCAUCACUUGCCUUGUGAGCUGCUCCAGGGAAUUUCUUGAAGAACUGUGUCAAAAUUAGCUUUAGAAGACCAGCAAUUUGAGAGCUUUGAUGGACACGUAUCAGGCACUCCCAGACCAGUGUUGGUCAAAUUGGUGCGCUUGGAAGAAAGAUUCUUUUUGUUGCUAGAGUGAAGAUUUUCCUCUUUUGUGAAAGGAGAGAAGAGGAUAAACAAGGACUACAUCUUCCUCUCUGCAAGAAGAAAUCUGAUUCAUUGGGAACAUAAUCACUACGAUACCAUGAAUGCUUGCAGGAGGAUACAUUCGCUCCGUGCUCACAGACAGAGAAACAAUGCCAACACACAUGAGAACUGGCACAGUACCUCUGGGUUCAAGCAACAGCGUGGAGAUGAACUUGCUACAGUCCUUACGCUUUACACAGUGAUCGUCAUGGUCCUUCUAAUGGCAAUCUGGGGAGCCUGGACAAGGAAGGAUUCAUACGUAUAGUAGCAGUAUGCUUUCUUUGUUAAAUAUUUAAAGAAAUACUUGUAUUGAUUAUCCGUACCCAGGAGGUACAAAAAAAAUGGUCCUUGCCUAUUACAGUGUACUUGAAACUGCUUAGACUACUGCUACUUGUGGAACUGAAGCUGUGAAGCGAUUUAAUAGGCAAUAUACAGAACAUGACUUCGUGAAUAAGAUAACUGUUUGUAUAUAACAUAUAAACAUGUUUGUAUUACCCUUUGCAUGUAUAUGAAACAUUUUAAGCAUAAUACAUUCUUGGGAAGAAGAA
Long non-coding RNA from Cygnus atratus (black swan), 839 nucleotides. RefSeq lists it as uncharacterized. The transcript is spliced from 2 exons. NCBI's taxonomy places the organism in Eukaryota, Metazoa, Chordata, Aves, Anseriformes, Anatidae. The record is from RefSeq and is a predicted model, not a curated record.